Molecule: long non-coding RNA, 2062 nt
Organism: Chelonia mydas (Green sea turtle)
Lineage: Eukaryota; Metazoa; Chordata; Testudines; Cheloniidae
Exons: 3
Source: RefSeq, a predicted model, not a curated record
ACUUCUGACACCCUUACUUUUUGACCUGGGAGAGUUUAUUUACAAAGAUGUGACUGCAGAAGUUUGGGAUGCAGAAAAAAAUGAGUGACGGGAAUACAGAGUGGAUUUCCCCCUACCCCCCCAAAACAUACAAAGCAGUGGGGAAAAAAGGAAGUGGUGGAAACAUGAUGGGCUCUCAGCAACCCAACCUGCCCCUCCUUUGCCCCUGAAUCUCUCUGCCCUGAUUUGUUAGAAUUGGAGCGGGAGAGAGAGAGAUUACUGGCAGCAUGAUACCCUUAGAAAUCACUGGAUACCAGAGCAGAAAUUUGCUAUGAAAAAGAUAUUUGUUUCACCUCUGAGCAUACACCUGCCUCACAGGGAGCUUAGAGAGUAGGUGCUGGGUGAGGAGCACAAAGGUCCUUAGAGCAUCAAAGGCUGAGAGUCAUUCAUUGCCCAUUCAUUUCAUUUAGGCAUUUUACUGCCCAGAAUGCCUAAUGUCUGGGAGUACAAAAAGAGGCACAAAGGCCUGGAGACAAGAUAAUAUGGGUCUGGAUAUCACUGCCAUUCCUCUGUGUGAUGGGGCAUCCACCACACACUGGCAGAGAAAAGGUUAAAAGCAGCCUGGGGAGGCUGCUCAGGGAGCAGCCAAUCCAAGAGAGUAAGAAGCAGCCAAUCAGGGCCCAGCAGGCCCAUACAAAAAGAGCUGCUGAGCCAAAAGUGGCCAGUUGCUUCUGGGAACUCAAGGGGUGAGCACUGUGUCUCUAGCAGGCUGACACCUGUGGUACCUUGGACAGAGCAUCUGCUGGCAGGGACUAGGGGAACAAGAUUUGCUCCUGACUGGCUGCUGGGAGUGGAUAGUUGCAUGUCUGAGGAAGGCUGAAGAAGGUGCUAGGGCCAUGGGGAAGUUGCCCAGGGGGAGACAGCAAUGGAGAGAUAGAGGUUAAAGAGAGGCAGCAGGAGGCUGCUAGCUAGCGGGUUCCUGGGCUGGGACCCGGAGUAGUGGGUGGGUUCAGGUCCCCCCCAUUCUCCACUGGGGAAGUGACUGGACUCUAGAACUAAGACACCUCCCCCCUGGAAGGGGGAAAAUAGAGUGACACUACCAAAGGGCCAAGUCAAGAAGAGGAUGCUGCAGUACUUGGACUGAGGCAGGUCUGCAGGUGGUGACCAUGAGGAGUCAGGCACCACCAGGAGAGUCCUCACCAGCUAGCAAGGCUAAUCCCCGUGACGGCCAGCAGGAGUGAGUGGAUGUUUGUGGAAACUGGGAGCCUGCAUGAGGGAGGAACUAGAGCCCAAAUAUUUCUACUGUUUGGACUCCAUCUGGCAGACUGACAGGAAUACCCCCAUUAUCUGUAUCUGUGGAGUCCUGCAACGGAAAUCAAGGAGCAGAUCUAUGCAUAUUUACUUCAGCUGAUGAUCUGGUCCUGUUUUCAUACGGAAGAUAAGAAUGUGACCAUAAGAACAUCUCAAUGCUAGCUGGUAAAGGGUUCUCUGUUCUGUAACAGUGGCCCCUGACAAGCCUGAUACUAUGAAAGCAAUGCACUGAGUGAAGUAUUUAUCCAAAGAGGGUCAAGUAAGUUAUUUAAUAAAAGCAUGUGUCCUACUGAUCUUCAUAAUCUUUGUGAGAUGUGUGUACAAAUGAUAUUUAAGGAGUUGUGUGUAUGUAUGUAUGUAUGUAUGUAUACUGGGAAAUGUUUUAAAGCCUGUGUCAAAGCAGGAUUGUCAAGCAGGUUUUGACCAGACAGAGGAUAUAUGUUCAGAUGUAACAUAAGCAUUGUAAGCCAGCACAAUGGAAACCUGUUUGUAUGUGACAGGAAUAAACCACGGAGUCAUUCUGACUCUGAGGGGAAAAAACAAUAAAAUGUGGGUUCUAAGAAGGCAAAUUGAUACAUAUUUAUCCUUCACUGAGGAAGCAAAAAGGACAGCACUUUUUGCAUUCAUGAAAGGGGAAUCCCAGCUAUGCUGGUUGAUGAUGCUGGAAGAUUGCUUCAGGUGACAAAGUACCAUAUAGAAGGAUUUUCAUCAACUUGCAGAAAUAUAGGACGGAAAGAGACCUUGAUAGGUCAUCUAAUCCAGUCCCCUGCAC